CCUCGGGUGGCUGCAGUGGGGAAUAUUGGACAAUGGGCGAAAGCCUGAUCCAGCCAUGCCGCGUGUGUGAAGAAGGCCUUCGGGUUGUAAAGCACUUUCAGUGGGGAAGAAAGCCUUGGGGCUAAUACCCUCGAGGAAGGACAUCACCCACAGAAGAAGCACCGGCUAACUCCGUGCCAGCAGCCGCGGUAAUACGGAGGGUGCGAGCGUUAAUCGGAAUUACUGGGCGUAAAGCGCGCGUAGGCGGUCUGAUAAGCCGGUUGGGAAAGCCCCGGGCUCAACCUGGGAACGGCAUCCGGAACUGUCAGGCUAGAGUGCAGGAGAGGAAGGUAGAAUUCCCGGUGUAGCGGUGAAAUGCGUAGAGAUCGGGAGGAAUACCAGUGGCGAAGGCGGCCUUCUGGACUGACACUGACGCUGAGGUGCGAAAGCGUGGGUAGCAAACAGGAUUAGAUACCCCGGUAGUC
RNAcentral lists this ribosomal RNA (464 nucleotides) under Vreelandella stevensii. RNAcentral's name for it is "partial 16S ribosomal RNA". It matches the Rfam family "Bacterial small subunit ribosomal RNA", at positions 339 to 795 of the family's 1533-position model. The record is from RNAcentral. Lineage: Bacteria; Pseudomonadati; Pseudomonadota; Gammaproteobacteria; Oceanospirillales; Halomonadaceae.